UACAGAGGUCUCAAGCGUUGUUCGGAUUCAUUGGGCGUAAAGGGUGCGUAGGUGGCGCUGUAAGUCGGGUGUGAAAUUUCGGAGCUUAACUCCGAAACUGCAUUCGAUACUGCGGUGCUUGAGGACUGGAGAGGAGACUGGAAUUCAUGGUGUAGCAGUGAAAUGCGUAGAUAUCGUAAGGAAGACCAGUGGCGAAGGCGGAUCUCUGGACAGUUACUGACACUGAGGCACGAAGGCCAGGGGAGCAAACGGG
Molecule: ribosomal RNA, 253 nt
Filed under: uncultured bacterium
Lineage: Bacteria
Description: partial 16S ribosomal RNA
Rfam family: Bacterial small subunit ribosomal RNA
Source: RNAcentral